This 432-nucleotide ribosomal RNA is filed under the name Acanthamoeba genotype T4. Its description in RNAcentral is "SSU rRNA". It matches the Rfam family "Eukaryotic small subunit ribosomal RNA", at positions 769 to 1098 of the family's 1831-position model. Lineage: Eukaryota; Discosea; Longamoebia; Acanthamoebidae. The record is from RNAcentral.
UUGGGUGUCAGGCAUGCAGAUCCAUUUUCUGCCACCGAAUACAUUAGCAUGGGAUAAUGGAAUAGGACCCUGUCCUCCUAUUUUCAGUUGGUUUUGGCAGCGCGAGGACUAGGGUAAUGAUUAAUAGGGAUAGUUGGGGGCAUUAAUAUUUAAUUGUCAGAGGUGAAAUUCUUGGAUUUAUGAAAGAUUAACUUCUGCGAAAGCAUCUGCCAAGGAUGUUUUCAUUAAUCAAGAACGAAAGUUAGGGGAUCGAAGACGAUCAGAUACCGUCGUAGUCUUAACCAUAAACGAUGCCGACCAGCGAUUAGGAGACGUUGAAUACAAAACACCACCAUCGGCGCGGUCGUCCCUGGCUCGUCGUUUCACGACGGCGGGCGGGGGCGGUUUAGCCCGAUGGCACCGGUGAAUGACUCCCUAGCACCUUUGUGAGAA